RNAcentral lists this ribosomal RNA (1417 nucleotides) under Lactiplantibacillus plantarum. RNAcentral describes it as "bacterial SSU rRNA". It matches the Rfam family "Bacterial small subunit ribosomal RNA". The record is from RNAcentral. Lineage: Bacteria; Bacillati; Bacillota; Bacilli; Lactobacillales; Lactobacillaceae.
UCUGGUAUUGAUUGGUGCUUGCAUCAUGAUUUACAUUUGAGUGAGUGGCGAACUGGUGAGUAACACGUGGGAAACCUGCCCAGAAGCGGGGGAUAACACCUGGAAACAGAUGCUAAUACCGCAUAACAACUUGGACCGCAUGGUCCGAGCUUGAAAGAUGGCUUCGGCUAUCACUUUUGGAUGGUCCCGCGGCGUAUUAGCUAGAUGGUGGGGUAACGGCUCACCAUGGCAAUGAUACGUAGCCGACCUGAGAGGGUAAUCGGCCACAUUGGGACUGAGACACGGCCCAAACUCCUACGGGAGGCAGCAGUAGGGAAUCUUCCACAAUGGACGAAAGUCUGAUGGAGCAACGCCGCGUGAGUGAAGAAGGGUUUCGGCUCGUAAAACUCUGUUGUUAAAGAAGAACAUAUCUGAGAGUAACUGUUCAGGUAUUGACGGUAUUUAACCAGAAAGCCACGGCUAACUACGUGCCAGCAGCCGCGGUAAUACGUAGGUGGCAAGCGUUGUCCGGAUUUAUUGGGCGUAAAGCGAGCGCAGGCGGUUUUUUAAGUCUGAUGUGAAAGCCUUCGGCUCAACCGAAGAAGUGCAUCGGAAACUGGGAAACUUGAGUGCAGAAGAGGACAGUGGAACUCCAUGUGUAGCGGUGAAAUGCGUAGAUAUAUGGAAGAACACCAGUGGCGAAGGCGGCUGUCUGGUCUGUAACUGACGCUGAGGCUCGAAAGUAUGGGUAGCAAACAGGAUUAGAUACCCUGGUAGUCCAUACCGUAAACGAUGAAUGCUAAGUGUUGGAGGGUUUCCGCCCUUCAGUGCUGCAGCUAACGCAUUAAGCAUUCCGCCUGGGGAGUACGGCCGCAAGGCUGAAACUCAAAGGAAUUGACGGGGGCCCGCACAAGCGGUGGAGCAUGUGGUUUAAUUCGAAGCUACGCGAAGAACCUUACCAGGUCUUGACAUACUAUGCAAAUCUAAGAGAUUAGACGUUCCCUUCGGGGACAUGGAUACAGGUGGUGCAUGGUUGUCGUCAGCUCGUGUCGUGAGAUGUUGGGUUAAGUCCCGCAACGAGCGCAACCCUUAUUAUCAGUUGCCAGCAUUAAGUUGGGCACUCUGGUGAGACUGCCGGUGACAAACCGGAGGAAGGUGGGGAUGACGUCAAAUCAUCAUGCCCCUUAUGACCUGGGCUACACACGUGCUACAAUGGAUGGUACAACGAGUUGCGAACUCGCGAGAGUAAGCUAAUCUCUUAAAGCCAUUCUCAGUUCGGAUUGUAGGCUGCAACUCGCCUACAUGAAGUCGGAAUCGCUAGUAAUCGCGGAUCAGCAUGCCGCGGUGAAUACGUUCCCGGGCCUUGUACACACCGCCCGUCACACCAUGAGAGUUUGUAACACCCAAAGUCGGUGGGGUAACCUUUUAGGAACCAGCC